GAUGAAGAACGUAGCGAAAUGCGAUAAGUAAUGUGAAUUGCAGAAUCCAGUGAAUCAUCGAAUCUUUGAACGCACAUUGCGCCCUAUGGUAUUCCGUAGGGCAUGUCUGUUCGAGCGUCAUUACACACCUCAAGCUCUGCUUGGUAUUGGGCGUCGUCCCCUAAACGGGACGUGCCUCAAAGACCUCGGCGGUGGCGUCUUUGCCUCAAGCGUAGUAAUCUUUUUAUCUCGCUUUGGAGUCGAAGGCGUCGCCCGCCGGACGAAACCUUUAUUUUUCUAUCAAGGUUGACCUCGGAUCAGGUAGGGAUACCCGCUGAACUUAAGCAUAUCAAUAAGCGGAGGA
RNAcentral lists this unclassified non-coding RNA (343 nucleotides) under soil metagenome. RNAcentral's name for it is "partial contains 5.8S ribosomal RNA, internal transcribed spacer 2, and large subunit ribosomal RNA". The stretch from base 1 to 120 matches the Rfam family "5.8S ribosomal RNA", at positions 35 to 154 of the family's 154-position model. The record is from RNAcentral.